This 468-nucleotide ribosomal RNA is filed under the name uncultured bacterium. RNAcentral describes it as "partial 16S ribosomal RNA". It matches the Rfam family "Bacterial small subunit ribosomal RNA", at positions 28 to 507 of the family's 1533-position model. The record is from RNAcentral.
GACGAACGCUGGCGGCGUGCUUAACACAUGCGAGUCGAACGGAAAGGCCCUGCUUUUGUGGGGUGCUCGAGUGGCGAACGGGUGAGUAACACGUGAGUAACCUGUCCUUGACUUUGGGAUAACUUCAGGAAACUGGGGCUAAUACCGGAUAGGAGCUCCUGCUGCAUGGUGGGGGUUGGAAAGUUUCGGCGGUUGGGGAUGGACUCGCGGCUUAUCAGCUUGUUGGUGGGGUAGUGGCUUACCAAGGCUUUGACGGGUAGCCGGCCUGAGAGGGUGACCGGCCACAUUGGGACUGCGAUACGGCCCAGACUCCUACGGUAGGCAGCAGUGGGGAAUAUUGCACAAUGGGCGGAAGCCUGAUGCAGCAACGCCGCGUGCGGGAUGACGGCCUUCGGGUUGUAAACCGCUUUCGCCUGUGACGAAGCGUGAGUGACGGUAAUGGGUAAAGAAGCACCGGCUAACUACGUG